CACGUAGGGGACGAGCGUUGUCCGGAUUCAUUGGGCGUAAAGCGCGCGUAGGCGGCUCGGAAAGUCGGUCGUGAAAUGCCGGGGCUCAACCCCGGGACUGCGUCCGAUACUCCCGAGCUGGAGGCAGGUAGGGGAGAUCGGAAUUCCUGGUGUAGCGGUGAAAUGCGCAGAUAUCAGGAGGAACACCGGUGGCGAAGGCGGCUCUCUGGGACGGUACUGACGCUGAGACGCGAAAGCGUGGGGAGCGAACAGG
RNAcentral lists this ribosomal RNA (253 nucleotides) under uncultured bacterium. Its description in RNAcentral is "partial 16S ribosomal RNA". It matches the Rfam family "Bacterial small subunit ribosomal RNA", at positions 524 to 776 of the family's 1533-position model. The record is from RNAcentral.